GAUGAACGCUGGCGGCGUGCCUAAUACAUGCAAGUCGAGCGAACAGACGAGGAGCUUGCUCCUCUGACGUUAGCGGCGGACGGGUGAGUAACACGUGGAUAACCUACCUAUAAGACUGGGAUAACUUCGGGAAACCGGAGCUAAUACCGGAUAACAUGUUGAACCGCAUGGUUCAACAGUGAAAGACGGUCUUGCUGUCACUUAUAGAUGGAUCCGCGCCGCAUUAGCUAGUUGGUAAGGUAACGGCUUACCAAGGCAACGAUGCGUAGCCGACCUGAGAGGGUGAUCGGCCACACGGGAACUGAGACACGGUCCAGACUCCUACGGGAGGCAGCAGUAGGGAAUCUUACGCAAUGGGCGAAAGCGUGACGGAGCAACGCCGCGUGAGUGAAGAAGGUGUUCGGAUCGUAAAACUCUGUUAUUAGGGAAGAACAAAUGUGUAAGUAACUAUGCACGUCUUGACGGUACCUAAUCAGAAAGCCACGGCUAACUACGUG
Molecule: ribosomal RNA, 497 nt
Filed under: uncultured bacterium
Lineage: Bacteria
Description: partial 16S ribosomal RNA
Rfam family: Bacterial small subunit ribosomal RNA
Source: RNAcentral